CGAAGGGGGCUAGCGUUGUUCGGAAUUACUGGGCGUAAAGCGCGCGUAGGCGGUUUUGCAAGCCAGGGGUGAAAUGCCUGAGCUCAACUUAGGAAUUGCCUUUGGGACUGCGAGGCUUUGAGGACUGGAGAGGUGAGUGGAAUUCCCAGUGUAGAGGUGAAAUUCGUAGAUAUUGGGAAGAACACCGGUGGCGAAGGCGGCUCACUGGCCAGUUUCUGACGCUGCAGCGCGAAAGCGUGGGGAUCAAACAGGAUUAGAUACCCUGGUAGUCCACGCUGUAAACGAUGAGUGCUAGGCGUCGGCAUGCUUGCAUGUCGGUGCCGCAGCUAACGCGUGAAGCACUCCGCCUGGGGAGUACGGUCGCAAGAUUA
RNAcentral lists this ribosomal RNA (371 nucleotides) under uncultured organism. Its description in RNAcentral is "bacterial SSU rRNA". It matches the Rfam family "Bacterial small subunit ribosomal RNA", at positions 526 to 896 of the family's 1533-position model. The record is from RNAcentral.